GAUGAACGCUGGCGGCGUGCCUAAUACAUGCAAGUCGAGCGAACAGACGAGGAGCUUGCUCCUCUGACGUUAGCGGCGGACGGGUGAGUAACACGUGGAUAACCUACCUAUAAGACUGGGAUACCUUCGGGAAACCGGAGCUAAUACCGGAUAAUAUAUUGAACCGCAUGGUUCAAUAGUGAACGACGGUUUUGCUGUCACUUAUAGAUGGAUCCGCGCCGCAUUAGCUAGUUGGUAAGGUAACGGCUUACCAAGGCAACGAUGCGUAGCCGACCUGAGAGGGUGAUCGGUCACACUGGAACUGAGACACGGUCCAGACUCCUACGGGAGGCAGCAGUAGGGAAUCUUCCGCAAUGGGCGAAAGCCUGACGGAGCAACGCCGCGUGAGUGAUGAAGGUCUUCGGAUCGUAAAACUCUGUUAGUAGGGAAGAACAAAUGUGUAAGUAACUAUGCACGUCUUGACGGUACCUAAUCAGAAAGCCACGGCUAACUACGUG
RNAcentral lists this ribosomal RNA (497 nucleotides) under uncultured bacterium. RNAcentral describes it as "partial 16S ribosomal RNA". It matches the Rfam family "Bacterial small subunit ribosomal RNA", at positions 28 to 507 of the family's 1533-position model. The record is from RNAcentral.